UUUAUGGAGAGUUUGAUCCUGGCUCAGGAUAAACGCUGGCGGCGUGCCUAAUACAUGCAAGUCGAGCGAACGGACGAGAAGCUUGCUUCUCUGAUGUUAGCGGCGGACGGGUGAGUAACACGUGGAUAACCUACCUAUAAGACUGGGAUAACUUCGGGAAACCGGAGCUAAUACCGGAUAAUAUUUUGAACCGCAUGGUUCAAAAGUGAAAGACGGUCUUGCUGUCACU
RNAcentral lists this ribosomal RNA (229 nucleotides) under Staphylococcus aureus. Its description in RNAcentral is "partial 16S ribosomal RNA". It matches the Rfam family "Bacterial small subunit ribosomal RNA", at positions 1 to 219 of the family's 1533-position model. Lineage: Bacteria; Bacillati; Bacillota; Bacilli; Caryophanales; Staphylococcaceae. The record is from RNAcentral.